This 465-nucleotide ribosomal RNA is filed under the name Dolichomastix tenuilepis. Its description in RNAcentral is "partial Bacterial small subunit ribosomal RNA". It matches the Rfam family "Bacterial small subunit ribosomal RNA", at positions 1 to 445 of the family's 1533-position model. Lineage: Eukaryota; Viridiplantae; Chlorophyta; Mamiellophyceae; Dolichomastigales; Dolichomastigaceae. The record is from RNAcentral.
AUUGAGUUUGAUCCUGGCUCAGAAUGAAUGCUCGCAAAAGGCCUAACACAUGCAAGUUGAACGUUUUUGUGAUUGAUUAACCAGUUACGGUAUAAUCAAAUAACAGAGAAGUAGCGAACGGGUGCGUAACACGUAGGAAUCUACCAAAAAGUUCAGGCUAAAAUUCUGGAUAAAGAUAUAGAAAAGAAAAGCGUUCUUCACGCUUUUUCUUCUUUAUAUUGGAAAGAAAAUUCGCUUUUUGAUGAGCCUGCGGAGGAUUAGGUAGUUGGUAGGGUAAGAGCCUCCCAAGCCGAUGAUCCUUAGCUGGUUUGGAAGAAUGAUCAGCCACAAUGGGACUGAGACACGGCCCAUACUCUUUCGAGAGGCAGCAGUGAGGAAUCUUGGACACUGAGCGCAAGCUUGAUCCAGCUAUUUUGCGUGAGGGAUGAAGGCUCUUUUAUGGUCGUAAACCUCUUUCAUUGAGAU